RNAcentral lists this ribosomal RNA (199 nucleotides) under uncultured bacterium. RNAcentral describes it as "partial 16S ribosomal RNA". It matches the Rfam family "Bacterial small subunit ribosomal RNA", at positions 328 to 540 of the family's 1533-position model. The record is from RNAcentral.
ACGCUCGACACCUACGGGAGGCGGCAGUGGGGAAUAUUGCACAAUGGGGGAAACCCUGAUGCAGCGACGCCGCGUGGAGGAAGAAGGUCUUCGGAUUGUAAACUCCUGUCCCAGGGGACGAUAAUGACGGUACCCUGGGAGGAAGCACCGGCUAACUACGUGCCAGCAGCCGCGGUAAUCUGAGCGGGCUGGCGAAGGC